Molecule: non-coding RNA, 112 nt
Organism: Arvicanthis niloticus (Nile rat)
Lineage: Eukaryota; Metazoa; Chordata; Mammalia; Rodentia; Muridae
Source: RefSeq, a predicted model, not a curated record
UGGCUCUGAAGCCAUGGUUCUCAACCUGCGGGUCUCAACCCCUAUGGCAAACCUCUAUCUACAAAAAUAUCUACAUUAUGAUUCAUAACAGUAACAAAAUUACAGUUGUAAA